AGCGGCGGAUGGGUGAGUAACACGUGGGGAACCUGCCCCUAAGUCUGGGAUACCAUUUGGAAACAGGUGCUAAUACCGGAUAAUAAAGCAGAUCGCAUGAUCAGCUUUUGAAAGGCGGCGUAAGCUGUCGCUAAGGGAUGGCCCCGCGGUGCAUUAGCUAGUUGGUAAGGUAACGGCUUACCAAGGCGACGAUGCAUAGCCGAGUUGAGAGACUGAUCGGCCACAUUGGGACUGAGACACGGCCCAGACUCCUACGGGAGGCAGCAGUAGGGAAUCUUCCACAAUGGACGCAAGUCUGAUGGAGCAACGCCGCGUGAGUGAAGAAGGUUUUCGGAUCGUAAAGCUCUGUUGUUGGUGAAGAAGGAUAGAGGUAGUAACUGGCCUUUAUUUGACGGUAAUCAACCAGAAAGUCACGGCUAACUACGUGCCAGCAGCCGCGGUAAUACGUAGGUGGCAAGCGUUGUCCGGAUUUAUUGGGCGUAAAGCGAGCGCAGGCGGAAAAAUAAGUCUAAUGUGAAAGCCCUCGGCUUAACCGAGGAACUGCAUCGGAAACUGUUUUUCUUGAGUGCAGAAGAGGAGAGUGGAACUCCAUGUGUAGCGGUGGAAUGCGUAGAUAUAUGGAAGAACACCAGUGGCGAAGGCGGCUCUCUGGUCUGCAACUGACGCUGAGGCUCGAAAGCAUGGGUAGCGAACAGGAUUAGAUACCCUGGUAGUCCAUGCCGUAAACGAUGAGUGCUAAGUGU
Molecule: ribosomal RNA, 743 nt
Filed under: uncultured bacterium
Lineage: Bacteria
Description: bacterial SSU rRNA
Rfam family: Bacterial small subunit ribosomal RNA
Source: RNAcentral